Molecule: RNA transcript, 1011 nt
Organism: Anthonomus grandis grandis
Lineage: Eukaryota; Metazoa; Arthropoda; Insecta; Coleoptera; Curculionidae
Gene name: protein RER1
Exons: 7
Source: RefSeq, a predicted model, not a curated record
UCAUCAUCGUUGACAUCUGUCAAUAUGCUUCUUGUCACUGUCAGCAGUGACAGCUGUCAUUACUGGACAUACGAUAGACGUGUCCAAAAUGAAAUCAAACUAAAAUAAAUUUUUAAUUUUUACAGGAUAUAAGUAAUUUAUAGGGAAAAAGAUAUUUAAGUAACAAUGGAGGAAGAGCUUCUAGGAUCAGGAGGUAGCAAAAGUAAACUUUCCCAGAUAUGUACGCGCCUAUCCCAGUCGUACCAAGGCAUGUUGGACCGGACGGUACCCUGGAAGAAAGUACGGUGGCUUUACGCCAUCGUACUCCUACUAGGGUUCGUAGCAAGAAUUCUGAUCGCUCAGGGAUGGUACAUAGUCACAUACGCCCUAGGCAUUUACCAUCUGAACCUAUUCAUAGCGUUUCUUACCCCAAAAAUUGAUCCUGCCAUGGAUUUCGAUGCCGAAGAUAACUCACCGGGGCUACCAACGAAAGCGAACGAGGAGUUCAAACCGUUCAUCCGACGGUUACCAGAGUUCAAAUUCUGGUACUCGAUCACUAAAAGUACCUUGAUCGGACUGGUGUGCACCUUCUUCGAUUGCUUUAAUAUACCAGUGUUUUGGCCCAUACUGGUCAUGUAUUUCAUCACACUUUUCUGUAUUACCAUGAAAAGGCAAAUUAGGCAUAUGAUCAAGUACAGAUACCUGCCGUUCACCCAUGGGAAACCAAAGUACCAAACCAAUGAAACAGGUAAAUCCUCAAAGUGACCACGAUGUACACAGUUAUUUAAGCGAAAUUCUUAGCUAGGUUAGUUCAGGUUGAUUUUGUCCGUAUUAUUUUGUGCGAAGUCCAGAAUUUGUGACGGCAUUUCCGACUAAAAUGGGAAGGCCCCUCCUCCUCCUCCUCUUAUGAUCCAUUUUUUAAUUGCCGAAUUAUUUAAAAAAAUAAAUAAAUAAUAUGCCAGUGCCUCUGUAACGCGUUUAUUUGUACAUUUUUGUUCACACUGGUGGAUUAACAUUAAAUUAUUGUACAUA